Molecule: long non-coding RNA, 1360 nt
Organism: Oncorhynchus tshawytscha (Chinook salmon)
Lineage: Eukaryota; Metazoa; Chordata; Actinopteri; Salmoniformes; Salmonidae
Source: Ensembl
GUGGAUGUAUUUCAAGGCCUACCUUCAAACUCAGUGCCUCUUUGCUUGACAUCAUGGGAAAAUCAAACGAAAAUCAUCCAAGACCUCAGAAAAAUGGGGCCCUGAUGUGCUUUAGGACCAUGCGGACACCUCAGAGUGGUCGGCAGGUUGUUUUCCCUGAUUUCAGUCGUUUGGAUUUAGGACGCCAUGGACACCACAGGACCAGCAUGGGAGAGAAAAACAGAGGCAGGUGCUGUCUGUGUUCUGCUUUUUCUCUCAGUUUUAAAAACAGCCAGAGCAGAAACUAGCUACUCUUUAGUUGACUGAUCUAGCUGGCAAGCAGGAUCAGGUGGUGACAGGAGUCUCAUCAGGGUCAGGCAACCAGGGAAGACCAGUCUGUGACAGCGCAGAGGAGAACUUUUGCAGAUACAACACGUUAUCCUCUCUGUGCAGCAAACACUGGACAAGCAAGAAGCUUCAAAGAAUCAAAAUAUUUUAAGGCAGUCUGCCAAACCUCUAAAGUUGAUUACCAAACUGUGUCAAGGGUUGAUAUAGUAUUUUCCCGAUGACACAAAAUAUGUAAAACAAAAAAGUAAGGAAGAUCUGGGAGAUGUUAUUGAUGAUGAAUGGAUACAGAUAUGUUAAAUGCCCAGUCAUGUUUAUGUAAUCUCACACACAAAUCACUGCAUUUUAAGACAAUCCGUAGAAUGUACAAUAUGCCAAUGAAACUUAAUUUCAGGCUCUCAGAAAUGUAAUUCUUCUGCUGGAGGUGUAAAACACAAAAGGGGACAUAUUUCUAUAUGGUAUGGCUGGCUGAAUUCUGGCAAAGAGUAUGUGCUUUUAUCUCAAAAUGUCUACAUCUCCCUUUUCCCUGUUUUUGUUUGGUUGGAAAUGUUGAUACUGGAGACUGUUAUCAGAUGAAACUGUGUAACCUAGCAUUUAUAAUGGCUAAAAAAUGCAUUGCCAUUUAUUGGAAGAUUGGUUAUCCUCCCACAAUGGAUAGAAGAAAUAUAAAGUAAUGUAUCACUGGCUGCCUGAUAUGGAAUACUGUACAACAAAAGGAGUCUGUAUUGAAAACAUGCCCAGGUCAGGGGAGAUAACUUUAGGCAAUCCCUAGCUGCUGGGCUGCUCAGUCCUGGCCCUAUGGGUCUGCUGUCCUGUUGGUUGUCACUCUGGCCUUGGCCUAACACACCUGAAACCAAUAAUGAAAGUUUCACUAAGAUCCAAAAGCUGAGUGGGGUGUGUUGGGUUGGGGUGCUGCAGUGCCGUGGACCCCUAGGGGCAGGACGAGGUGACCCAGCUAUAUUGUGUGCAAGUAAAAAGUGCUCUACAGUACUAUUAGGCCUAUGAUUUGAAUUAUAUGAAGGGUGUACUGUCUCUG